Molecule: ribosomal RNA, 432 nt
Filed under: uncultured Hyphomicrobiales bacterium
Lineage: Bacteria; Pseudomonadati; Pseudomonadota; Alphaproteobacteria; Hyphomicrobiales
Description: bacterial SSU rRNA
Rfam family: Bacterial small subunit ribosomal RNA
Source: RNAcentral
CGGGCCGCAGCAGUGGGGAAUAUUGGACAAUGGGCGCAAGCCUGAUCCAGCCAUGCCGCGUGAGUGAUGAAGGCCCUAGGGUUGUAAAGCUCUUUCACCGGAGAAGAUAAUGACGGUAUCCGGAGAAGAAGCCCCGGCUAACUUCGUGCCAGCAGCCGCGGUAAUACGAAGGGGGCUAGCGUUGUUCGGAAUUACUGGGCGUAAAGCGCACGUAGGCGGAUAUUUAAGUCAGGGGUGAAAUCCCAGAGCUCAACUCUGGAACUGCCUUUGAUACUGGGUAUCUGGAGUAUGGAAGAGGUGAGUGGAAUUCCGAGUGUAGAGGUGAAAUUCGUAGAUAUUCGGAGGAACACCAGUGGCGAAGGCGGCUCACUGGUCCAUUACUGACGCUGAGGUGCGAAAGCGUGGGGAGCAAACAGGAUUAGAUACCCUUGU